GUGCAAUAACUAACUCAUUUUUAUUCGCCCAUUCAGGUUUUCCAUGUUUAGCCCAACAAGUAUCCACAGUAUGAUUUGGUUUGCCACAAUAAGAGCAUUGGCAAGAAGACU
Molecule: long non-coding RNA, 111 nt
Organism: Telopea speciosissima
Lineage: Eukaryota; Viridiplantae; Streptophyta; Magnoliopsida; Proteales; Proteaceae
Exons: 3
Source: RefSeq, a predicted model, not a curated record